AUGACCUGUAAGUUAUAUAAUUUUAACACUUCAAUGCAUUCAAGAUUUCCCUUUAUCCUUGACUAGUUUUUGAUUAAUACCUUGUGUAUUAAAAAAGCAACAGGGACAUAUAGGGGCCACCAUGGUGAACAUAUUUUUUAUGGCCACCAUUAAUAAGAUAAAGUCACAGGUAGUACUGUAUUUGUACCAGAAGAUAUAUCUGUUACAAAUUGUAUUGCCCAUGUAUAUGGUUCUGAAGUGACUAUGGUACUAAUCUACCAAAAAAAAGUUACAAUACUGGUACAAAAUUUGUAUACCAGUAUUGUGGACAAUACUGGUAUGCUCCACAAUACUGGUAUACCAGUAUUGCGAUUACCAACUACAGGAGAUCCAAGAUAAAGAAUAAUAAGUGAAAACAAUUAACACUACAGAAAUGAAAAGUUUUUCACCCCCAUCCCCCAUUAACAAAAACAAGUGCGAGUGAUUUAAUAUACGAAUGUGGAUAGUACCCCCCCCCUUUUUCCAUUGACAGAAACUACUGUAUGUGAGUAAACGGUAGUCAAUUCUAUAUCUGAUGGUUUAAUAUGUUAUUUUUCAAAGGUAUAUAAGAAAAUAAGCUUCCCGUUUAAAAUCCAUUGGAGGUCCUCCGAUAAACCGCAACUAAUAUUUUUUGUAGCGGCCACUUUCCUAUUACUGGAUGUCCGCCAUUUUGACUUAAC
RNAcentral lists this long non-coding RNA (698 nucleotides) under Mytilus galloprovincialis (Mediterranean mussel). Lineage: Eukaryota; Metazoa; Mollusca; Bivalvia; Mytilida; Mytilidae. The record is from RNAcentral.